Molecule: ribosomal RNA, 1953 nt
Filed under: Triticum aestivum (bread wheat)
Lineage: Eukaryota; Viridiplantae; Streptophyta; Magnoliopsida; Poales; Poaceae
Description: partial small subunit ribosomal RNA
Source: RNAcentral
AUGCUUUGCCUCAGCUCCUCUCUCCUGCCGCGCCCGUCUGCCGCUGCUGACCGGCCGGCUCCCGGGAUCAUCGCGGGCGGCGGCGGCAAGCGGCUGAGCGUGGUGCCGGCUGUCCCGUUUUUACUUCGCUGGUCGUGGCCACGGAAGGCCAAGAGCAGGUCUUCUGUUUCCGUGACUGCACGAGGAAACAAAAUUGCGGCAGCAAAUGGAUAUGGUUCUGACCACCUUCCCAUGUAUGAUCUGGAACCAAAGUUGGCUGAAUUCAAAGACCACUUCAACUAUACGAUGAAAAGGUACCUUGAACAGAAACUUUUGAUUGAGAAACAUGAGGGAGGCCUAGAGGAAUUCUCUAAAGGCUAUUUGAAGUUUGGGAUCAACACGGAGCAUGGUGCAUCUCUGUACAGGGAAUGGGCCCCUGCAGCAGAGGAAGCACAACUAGUUGGUGACUUCAACAACUGGAAUGGUUCUGGCCACAAGAUGACGAAGGAUAACUUUGGCGUUUGGUCAAUCAGGAUUUCCCAUGUCAAUGGGAAACCUGCCAUCCCUCACAAUUCCAAGGUUAAAUUUCGAUUUAGGCAUGAUGGAGUAUGGGUUGAACGGAUUCCAGCAUGGAUUCGUUAUGCAACUGUUACUGCCUCUGAAUCUGGAGCUCCAUAUGAUGGUGUUCACUGGGAUCCACCAACUAGUGAAAGGUAUGUAUUUAACCAUCCUCGACCUCCAAAGCCUGAUGUUCCACGUAUCUAUGAGGCUCAUGUGGGGGUGAGUGGUGGAAAGCUUGAAGCAGGCACACACAGGGAAUUUGCAGACAAUGUGUUACCGCGCUUAAGGGCAACUACAUACAACACGGUUCAGUUGAUGGGAAUCAUGGAACAUUCUGACGCUGCUUCUUUUGGGUAUUAUGUGACGAAUUUCUUCGCAGUUAGCAGCAGAUCAGGCACACCAGACGACCUCAAAUAUCUUAUUGACAAGGCACAUAGUCUUGGAUUGUGUGUUCUGAUGGAUGUUGUCCACAGCCAUGCGAGCAAUAAUGUGAUAGAUGGUCUCAAUGGCUAUGAUGUUGGACAAAGUGCACACGAAUCCUAUUUCUACACAGGAGACAGGGGCUAUAAUAAGAUGUGGAAUGGCCGCAUGUUCAACUAUGCCAAUUGGGAGGUCCUAAGAUUCCUGCUUUCCAAUUUGAGAUAUUGGAUGGACGAAUUCAUGUUUGAUGGCUUCCGAUUUGUUGGGGUUACAUCGAUGCUAUAUAAUCAAAAUGGUAUCAAUAUGUCAUUCACUGGAAAUUACAAAGAGUAUUUUGGUUUGGAUACCAAUGUAGAUGCAGUUGUUUAUAUGAUGCUCGCGAACCAUUUAAUGCACAAACUCUACCCAGAAGCAAUUGUUGUGGCCGUAGAUGUUUCAGGCAUGCCAGUUCUUUGUUGGCCAGUUGAUGAAGGUGGAUUAGGGUUUGACUAUCGCCAGGCUAUGACUAUUCCCGAUAGAUGGAUUGAAUACUUGGAGAACAAAGGUGAUCAACAGUGGUCAAUGAGUAGUGUAAUAUCACAAACUUUGACUAACAGGCGAUAUCCGGAAAAGUUCAUUGCGUAUGCUGAGAGGCAAAAUCAUUCUAUUAUUGGCAGCAAGACUAUGGCAUUUCUCUUGAUGGGAUGGGAAACGUAUUCCGGUAUGUCGGCCAUGGAGCCUGAUUCACCUACAAUAGAUCGUGGCAUUGCACUUCAAAAGAUGAUUCAUUUCAUCAGGAUGGCCUUUGGAGGUGAUAGCUACUUAAAAUUUAUGGGUAAUGAGUACAUGAAUGCAUUUGAUCAAGCAGUGGACACGCCCAGCGAUAAAUGUUCCUUCCUAUCAUCAUCAAAGCAGACUGCCAGCGACAUGAAUGAGGAAGAAAAGGUACUUAACUAUACAAUCUUCAGUCAAGGCACUUGUUUGAAUCAUUUGUUUCACUCUUAUACUCUUUAG